AUGAACGCUAGCGGCAGGCCUAAUACAUGCAAGUCGAACGGGUGGUAGCAAUACCACUAGUGGCGCACGGGUGCGUAACGCGUAACCAACCUACCCGAAACUGGGGGAUAGCCCGCCGAAAGGCGGAUUAAUACCGCAUAAACCAACAGCGUGGCAUCACGCAAUUGGUAAAGAUUUAUUGGUUUCGGAUGGGGUUGCGUAGCAUUAGCUAGAUGGCGGGGUAACGGCCCACCAUGGCGACGAUGCUUAGGGGACCUGAGAGGGUGAUCCCCCACACUGGCACUGAGAUACGGGCCAGACUCCUACGGGAGGCAGCAGUAGGGAAUAUUGGGCAAUGGGCGAGAGCCUGACCCAGCCAUGCCGCGUGCAGGAUGAAGGCCUUCUGGGUUGUAAACUGCUUUUCUCAGGGAAGAAAAAGGUGAUGCGUCACAAACUGACGGUACCUGAGGAAUAAGCACCGGCUAACUCCGU
RNAcentral lists this ribosomal RNA (471 nucleotides) under uncultured bacterium. RNAcentral describes it as "bacterial SSU rRNA". It matches the Rfam family "Bacterial small subunit ribosomal RNA", at positions 29 to 506 of the family's 1533-position model. The record is from RNAcentral.